RNAcentral lists this signal recognition particle RNA (267 nucleotides) under Thermotogota bacterium. Its description in RNAcentral is "Thermotogae bacterium signal recognition particle sRNA large type". It matches the Rfam family "Bacterial large signal recognition particle RNA". Rfam says of the family: The signal recognition particle (SRP) is a universally conserved ribonucleoprotein involved in the co-translational targeting of proteins to membranes. The record is from RNAcentral. Lineage: Bacteria; Thermotogati; Thermotogota. RNAcentral also lists the same sequence under 1 other name.
CCACACUAAGCGGGGGGUUAGCGGUCCCCUGAACCCGAAAACCGCUAUAUGCGGGGCUGAAGUCCUAUCGGAGGUGCUUUCAUUGUGGGAAAUGCUGUGGAUAAGUGGUGUCGAUGGUAGAGUCCCACGCAUCGAAAGCUCGUGAACCUGGUCAGGCCCGGAAGGGAGCAGCCAUAAGCGAGUCAUUUCGAGUGCCGUGGGGGAGCUCUGCCGGAGCUAACUGUCCAACAAGCGUCCCACAAUAAAGCAUCGAAGAUAGGUGUGUGG